UACAGAGGGGGCAAGCGUUGUUCGGAAUUACUGGGCGUAAAGGGCGCGUAGGCGGCCGCCUAAGUCAGACGUGAAAUCCCUCAGCUUAACUGGGGAACUGCGUGUGAUACUGGAUGGCUUGGAUUUGGGAGAGGGAUGCGGAAUUCCAGGUGUAGCGGUGAAAUGCGUAGAUAUCUGGAGGAACACCGGUGGCGAAGGCGGCAUCCUGGACCGGAAUUGACACUGAGGAGCGAAAGCCAGGGGGGCAAACGGG
Molecule: ribosomal RNA, 253 nt
Filed under: uncultured bacterium
Lineage: Bacteria
Description: partial 16S ribosomal RNA
Rfam family: Bacterial small subunit ribosomal RNA
Source: RNAcentral